This 301-nucleotide long non-coding RNA is filed under the name Vigna radiata. RNAcentral describes it as "long non-coding RNA (VRAD_LNC008525)". The record is from RNAcentral. Lineage: Eukaryota; Viridiplantae; Streptophyta; Magnoliopsida; Fabales; Fabaceae.
GGUGGUUAUAUGCAAAGAACAGAAUUAAACAUGCAAAUGCAGUGAAUCAAUGGUUGAGGAAAAACUAUGGAUGAAUGGUGUUGUUGGGGUUUAUAAUUUCAUCUUAUCCAGUCUCAUAUAUCUACUCUUCUUAUUUAAUUCACUUGUUUAUCUCAUUGCCAUGCAUACUUUCUUAAUUAUCCUUAACCCAAUUCCGUGGUGAAAAGAGCCUAUCACUAAUUACCGGCUUGCUAUCCCUAGCCUCCCCUAGUUACCAAUAAUGCAAUGUGUUCUAAGGCAAAUACAAUUGACUGUCCUACCC